This 7247-nucleotide long non-coding RNA is filed under the name Olea europaea subsp. europaea. The record is from RNAcentral. Lineage: Eukaryota; Viridiplantae; Streptophyta; Magnoliopsida; Lamiales; Oleaceae.
UUACACUCCGGUGUACAGUGUCAACCUGUCAACCCCCUGUAAGUGCAGCAAAACAGGAUUCCUCAGAUUCCCAAUUAUCAUCUUCAUCUUCCAUUUAUGAUUUCAUUCGACCCUGACUCUGGCCGCUUGGAGCUCCAUUUGGUGUCUCCUUCCCCUUGCGAUGCGAAAUUCAAGACCAGGGUUCGUUAAGAGUACAAUAUUACGGGUACAUUGGCUUAUGGCCAGAUUGUUAAUUUAUCCGGAAUAGCUGCCCAGGACUUUUUCCUCUGGCUGCCAGUGAAAAGGAUCCGGGUCGACAUUCCGAGCUCCGGGUUGAUUUAUUUUGACGUUGGGGUUGUGUUUAAGCAGCUCUCAUUGUCAUUUUUCGAAGACUCUAAAAGAUUGUGAUGUUUCGGCAAAGUGAGAUCAAGUAAAUGAUAUCAUUUAGUUUAAUUACCAUGGGCAAAUCGCUGAGGUUGGUAAAUCUUGAUUUCUGCAUCUCUGUAUACUUUUAUACAUUAAUUGGUUAAUUUAUAACAUGGCAUAUACAAUUUCCAUUUCUUUAGUCCUGAAUUCUCGAAAGUUUGGGGUGGGCAUGGGGCUAAUGUUUAUAUUGAUGAUGCAUAAUAUAAGACAAGGUGUUAUCUCGAUAGGUGGCACACACACUCACACGAUUGUUUAUUGGCUGUGUGUUUUUAGAUGAUUUUCAUUUUAGUCACAGUUAUUGUUUAUUUAGGAUGAAGAAAAUUAUUUUUGUUCAUUCUCUUCAUUUCACGUUAUGAACUUCUCAGAUUUUUCUUUGAGUUCCUAGUUUCCAGAAUUGAAUUGGAAAUCGUUAUUUUGCUGAAAUAAUAAUUCCAAAAUCCAUCUGCUAAAAAUGAAUGGGUUAAAGGAACUCGAGAAGCUUAUUUAUCAAUUUUCAGAAUUUGUAUCAUUUGCUCAUAUUGGAUUUCACGUAGAUCCCUUACUCAGCUUACAUUAUGAAGGCUAUUUUGGGAAUUUUAUUUAUUUAUUUUUUCUGUUAGCUUCUUGUUAAUCAGUUUUGUAUUUGUCAAUUUUCUAUUGGUUGAGUUUGUUAUGUAUAGAAAGGUGAAGAUUCCUUCUAUCGUGGUCAUAGGCUGUAUAUAAAUAGGCUAGUUCCUUUGUAUAUAUUUUUAUUCGAUUCUUAUGAUUACAAUGGAGAAUUCCCAAGUUCAUAUAUCAUUUUCUUUCUUCUCUAACUUUCAUAUUUAAAUUCUUAUAUGGUAUCAGAGCAGGUGAACCAAAUCAACCAUGACUACAGAAAUUCCUUCCACAGAUUCUUCCCCUGCUUCUCCAUCCAAAAUUUCUAACCCCUUCCUCAAUUUCACCGAUGUCACCAAUCCUUACCGUCUUGACCAUGGUGAUAAUCCAUCGAUCUCUCUUGUUCCUGAACUUCUUACAGUUGACAAUUACACUACUUGGUCUAGGGCAAUGCAUAGAGCCCUUAGAGCCAAGAACAAAUUAGGCUUCAUCAGUGGUGCUAUCACCAAGCCAACUAGUUUAGACGACCCUUUGUUUGAGGCCUGGGAACGUUGUAAUGACCUUGUGACCUCCUGGGUGCAGAAUUCCAUCUCCCCAUCAAUCAAGUCUAGCAGAGCUCUUGUGGAUGAUGCUGCUGAGCUGUGGGAUGAACUGAAGGAGCGGUUUACUCAGCAAAAUGGUCCACGAAUCUUCCAACUUAAGAAAGCCCUUGCAAGUUUGCAACAGGAGCAAGAUUCAGUAAGUGUUAUUAUGGGAAGUUGAAAUCAAUUUGGGAUGAGCUCAAUAUGUUCGACCCUUUGCCUGACUGCACCUGUGGAAAGUUAACUACACUUUCUAAUAGAUACCAAAGGGACUGUGUGAUACAGUUCUUGAUGGGUUUAAAUGAUUCAUACACGAACUCACGAGACCAGAUUAUGCUCCUUGAUCCUUUACCCUCAAUUGGGAAAAUUUUAUCCAUGAUCCAACAACAAGAAAUGCAGCACAUGAUGCUUAACAACCUACCAUCACCUAAUGUGAUGGGCUUAGCUAGUAGGAAGUUUCAUCCCAUUCCUAAACCAAGUGUUAAGACUGGCCAACCCAACAACCGUGACCGUCCUUAUUGUACUCACUGUCAUGCACCAGGGCAUGAUCUAGAGGCAUGUUUUAAAGCAAGGAAUGCCAAGCCACCAAUUUGUACUCAUUGCCAUAUGAGUGGUCAUGUAGUUGGGAAGUGCUACAAACUUCAUGGGUAUCCACCUGGGCAUAAGUACUUCAACAAGGGAAAAUCUCCCAGACUUUUUGCUAAUGCUGUCAUUGCAGAUCAAGAGGAUGAUUCAGAUUCAAGAGUUGGUCUUACAAAGGGACAGUAUCAACAAUUGCUUUCUCUGUUGCAGCAAAAGGACAGUCCAAUAAUGCCUUCUAUGUCCACCAAUCCAUCCAAGACAGCUUUUCAUCCUGUAGCUAAUGCAGCAAAGGCCCUUACCAUGUCCGGUAUAUCUAUCUCUUGUUCCACUUCUUCUCAAAGACUUUUAUUCUCUGCCGAAACACCUUGGAUUAUCGACACAGGUGCUACAGACCACAUGGUCUGCAGCAUCUCCCUGUUUACUACCAUCAAUUCAGAAGUAUCUUAUUCUGUCAAGAUGCCAAAUGGUGAUGAAGCACUUGUCACACACGUAGGAACAGUUCAUAUCACUGGAAAACUCGUUCUAGAAAAUGUUUUAUGUGUCCCGUCUUUUACAUUUAACUUGAUUUCUGCUAAAAGACUUGCCCACUCACUUACUUGCUGCCUUAUUUUUUUUUCUGAUUGCUGUUUCCUCCAGGACCUUUUGUCUUGGACAAUGAUUGGGAAGGGUGAAGUGAAGAAUGGACUCUAUCAAUUGCAACAUGCUAAAGUGUCUUCUGAAGCUCUUGUUGACAACUUUUCUAAGUAUUUAAAUAAAAAUAUCUUUGUUUCCACUUCUGUACUUGACAAUAGUUCUUCCAUAGAUCUUUGGCAUUAUAGACUUGGCCAUACACCUUUGUCUAGGAUAUCUUUGAUCGAUGAUCCUGUUGUAAGUACUGAAAUUACUGACAUUAAUGAAAAUCCUUGCUGCAUUUGUCCCACGGCUAAACAACAUCGCCUUCCUUUUCCAACCAGCACACAUAUGAGCACCAGAAUUUUUCAACUUAUUUCUUGUGAUAUAUGGGAGCCUUGUUCUGUUCCUGCACAUGAUGGAUCCAAGUACUUUCUUACUAUUGUGGAUCAUUUCUCUCGAAGUACUUGGGUCUAUUUACUAAAAACAAAAUCUGAAACUCGCCACUGCAUAGAGACUUUUUGUAACCUUGUUGAGAACCAGUUUGAUGUCAAAAUCAAAAUCUUAAAAAGUGAUAAUGGGGCAGAGUUUAAAAUGACAGAUUUCUUUUGUAAAAGGGGUAUUUUGCAUCAAACUAGCUGUGUGGAAACACCACAGCAAAAUGCUAUUGUUGAACGUAAGCACCAGCACCUUUUAAACAUUGUGAGAGCACUUAGGUUCCAAGCUUCACUUCCUAUGAAGUUUUGGAAUGAAUGCAUUUUAACUGCUGCUUACAUUAUCAAUAGAAUCCCUUCUCCUGUGCUGUCAAAUAAAACCCCCUUUGAGUUACUUUUCAAUAGAAAACCAACCUAUGGUCACAUGAAAGUAUUUGGUUGCUUGUGUUUUGCUUCAACUAUUUCACAAGGCAGAACUAAAUUUGAUUCCCGAGCUAGAAAAUCCGUCUUUCUUGGCUAUCCUUUUGGUGUUAAGGGAUACAAGUUGUUUGACCUUGAUACCAAGACCUUUUUCAUCUCACGAGAUGUUGUUUUUCAUGAAAUAGUCUUCCCCUUCCACACCAUCACACUUGACAACCUGCCGCCAGAAACUACUAACAACAAUAAUUUCUGUCAACUUUCUCCUCAACCAUUUCCUUCUAAUGUUGAGCAGAUUAAUUCAGAUUUUUCUCCUUCUCAAUCUUCAAACUUAACACCUUUAGAUCCUCCUUCUACUCGUGUCUUCAUUAAUAGCCCUGUUCAAACUUCUGAGAUAGUUGCUUCCUCUCCUACUUCUGAUUUACCUCAUACUACAGAAGAAAUCACCCAAGAACAAUUACCUAUCCGCAAGUCAACAAGAGUUAGAAGAGCACCACAGUACCUGCAGGACUUUCAUUGUCAACAAGUGCACUUCACUUCUCCAGACCAAUCAUUGACCAGGCAAUUGUCUUCCAAUACAGGUACAAAUUUUCCUUAUCAUAUCAUCGUUUAUCUCGCAAUUAUGCUGCUUUUUCAACUUCUAUUUGCUCUCAAAUUGAUCCUCAAACAUAUCAUCAAGCUGUUAAGGAUCCGGGUUGGUGUGAGUCUAUGAAGGCUGAAUUGGAUGCUUUUGAACUCAAUCAGACUUGGGAAUUAACUGAUCUGCCACCUGGUAAGGAACCAAUCAAGUGUAAGUAUGUUUACAAGACCAAAUUUAAUUCAGAUGGGACUGUUGAAAGGUUAAAGGCCAGAUUAGUGGCCAAGGGCUAUACACAACAAGAAGGGAUUGACUAUCAAGAAACUUUUUCUCCAGCAGCCAAAAUGGUCACAGUUCGCUGUCUCCUUGCACUUGCUGCCAUACAUGGCUGGCAUUUGCAACAAUUUGAUGUUAAUAACGCUUUCCUUCAUGGGGAGCUAGAAGAGGAAAUUUAUAUGUGUAAACCCCCUGGUUAUAACAAAGGAAAACCCGAACAAGUGUGCAAACUGCUCAAAAGCUUAUAUGGCCUUAAGCAGGCAUCUCGCCAAUGGUUCUCCAAAUUUUCAGACUCACUUAUACACUUUGGUUUUCAACAGUCCAAAUCAGAUUAUAGCUUAUUCACUAUGAUCAAAGAAGAUGUUUUUACUGCCUUAUUGGUUUAUGUGGAUGAUAUUGUGGUUGCUAGUAACUCCAUUGAUUGUAUUAAUUCUCUCAAAGUGUUCUUGAAUACUGAGUUUAAGAUUAAGGAUCUUGGUGCCCUUCGUUAUUUCCUUGGUAUUGAAGUGGCAAGAUCCAUAAAAGGGAUUCAUUUAUGUCAACGGAAGUAUACACUUGACAUACUAGCAGAUUCAGGUACCCUUGGUUCCAAGCCAGCUAAACUUCCCAUGGACCGAAAUAUCAAGCUUAGCAAAGAAUCAGGGUGUAUUCUUUCUGAUCCAAGCAUUUAUAGAAGACUUGUAGGAAGGUUAUUGUAUUUAACUAUUACAAGACCUGACAUUAGCUAUUCGGUGCAAGUACUCAGUCAGUUCAUAUCUAAGCCAACUCAUCUUCACCUACAAGCUGCCCACAAAGUACUGAAUUAUCUAAAAGGUAGUCCUGGCCAGGGUAUUUUACUUUCUUCUUCAUCCCCUUUGCAAUUAAAUGGCUACUGUGAUUCUGAUUGGGCUUCAUGUCCAGACACUCGACGCUCUAUCACUGGCUUCUGCAUUUUCUUGGGCAACUCUCUUAUAUCUUGCAAAUCCAAGAAACAAUCAAUUGUUUCUCGCUCAUCUGCAGAAGCGGAGUAUCGGGCAAUGGCAACAACUGUUUCUGAGUUUACUUGGAUUAAACAAUUGUUAAAAGAUCUGCACAUUUCUCAUUCGUCUGCUGCAAUUCUUCACUGCGACAAUCAAGCAGCUCUGCAUAUUGCUGCCAAUCCAGUAUUCCACGAACGUACUAAACAUAUAGAGGUUGAUUGCCAUCUCAUUAGAGACAAAAUUCAGGAAGGUAGUAUCAUCACAGCUCAUGUAUCAACUCAUUCACAACUGGCCGACAUCUUCACUAAGGCUCUCUCUUCUUCUGUUCUUACUACUCUCCUCUCCAAGAUGGGAAUAGUAGAUAUCUAUUCUCCAUCUUCCGGGGGGGGGGGGGUAUUGGAUUUCACGUAGAUCCCUGACUCAGCUUACAUUAUGAAGGCUAUUUUGGGAAUUUUAUUUAUUUAUUUUUUUCUGUUAGCUUCUUGUUAAUCAGUUUUGUAUUUGUCAAUUUUCUAUUGGUUGAGUUUGUUAUGUAUAGAAAGGUGAACAUUCCUUCUGUCGUGGUCAUAGGCUGUAUAUAAAUAGGCUGGUUCCUUUGUAUAUAUUUUUAUUCGAUUCUUAUGAUUACAAUGGAGAAUUCCCAAGUUCAUAUAUCAUUUUCUUUCUUCUCUAACUUUCAUAUUUAAAUUCUUAUAGCUCAUAUGUUCAUCAACUUAAAUUUCUCUAAAAAGGAUUAGUCACAUGAUUGAAUAAUGGAUGCUGAUGAGCUUUAAAGAUUAGAGAGAGAGUCAACGAGCACAAUAAUAUUGUCAGAGGAAUUCGGUCUUGUCAUGUUCUUCAACAUGACAAUAUCACAGGCUACAGAUUCUGUUAUGCAGCAAUAGUAACUACCAAGGUCAGAAGCUUCAAUUCUUCCCCUGGGAGCCUGCUAAAUAUGCUAUUAAUUAUGCUAUUUGUACCCGGGCGUUUACACGCUCGGUUACACUCCUCUCACAUUGGGGGUGGGGCCCGCGCACAAUAAAUGCGUGGGACCCGCCCCUCAUGUGAGGGGCAUGUAAACGCCCGGGUACAUGUAACAAAACCCAUAUGCUACUCUCCUGGGAUGGUGUGGAGGAAAACAGUUAAAUUAUGUUGCCGCUCCAUAUUACGUGAGUUAAAUGGUUGUGUUCUUGUAUAUGUUAAUGCAUACACAUACUGGUAUGAAACAUGUUCGUCAUGUACAUCAUCAUAGUUGGAUUCCCCCUGCUUCUAAGAACGCAACUCUAUUUAGCUUUUUAAACUACUUUAUUAAUCAUUUUGAUCUUGUUGCAAGGUCCAUCCGGAAAGUUUGGGAGGAAACAUGACGAGGGGACUGCAUUGAGAACUGUUUCAUAAAUAGGGAGGCAGAGGAGUUCAUACAUUUUGUCUAAGUAGUGGAUUCAUCAUUUGACUUGAAGAGUACAAGAAUCUGGUGGUCCAUUAUGUGUGCUUUCUUGCUUAUAUUAUGGCUUCUUCCUCAGCAGCUUCUGCUUAAGUGGAGCAAGGUUACGGUUUUGUUAGGGAGAGGGAGAACAUGCAGUUUAUGAAUGAGGGACGGGGAUUUUCAGUUAUAUAGCUGUGGUUUUGGUUUCACCAUCCAUUGUUUUGGUUUCAGAGAUGUUCUCCUUUCACUCUUUUUAUCUUGUGCUGUAUCCAUCAAAUUGUUGUGCUUGAGUUGAUUUGUAUAUGGUUCUGGUUGUUGCAUUUCAGUAUGUUACACCAUAUGGUUGCACGAGGGAAUUAGUUUGGUGGACAAUGUAUUUUUGUUUUUUAUUUUUAGAUAAUGAGUUCGAAACAUAAAAUUCGUCAGGAG